RNAcentral lists this unclassified non-coding RNA (253 nucleotides) under uncultured Solirubrobacteraceae bacterium. RNAcentral describes it as "contains 16S-23S intergenic spacer region". It matches the Rfam family "Bacterial small subunit ribosomal RNA", at positions 524 to 776 of the family's 1533-position model. Lineage: Bacteria; Bacillati; Actinomycetota; Thermoleophilia; Solirubrobacterales; Solirubrobacteraceae. The record is from RNAcentral.
UACGUAGGGGGCUAGCGUUGUCCGGAAUCAUUGGGCGUAAAGCGCGUGUAGGCGGUCCGGUAAGUCCGCUGUGAAAGUCGAGGGCUCAACCCUCGAAUGCCGGCGGAUACUGUCGGGCUUGAGUACGGAAGAGGCGAGUGGAAUUCCUGGUGUAGCGGUGAAAUGCGCAGAUAUCAGGAGGAACACCAAUUGCGAAGGCAGCUCGCUGGGACGUUACUGACGCUGAGACGCGAAAGCGUGGGGAGCAAACAGG